AUUUUACCCCAAACAAGCCAUCCACUCAAUCCUUAAUUUGCAAAAAAAAAUACUAGAAUUCCUUAUAUUUGGGGAUGGAGUGAGUGAAUGAAAAUGUCAGUCUGGAAGAGCAUAUCUUUCAUUUUUCUUUAAACAAUAGCUGAUAGAGGAAAUAAAAUAUUGUGUUUCUUACACAUUACAUAUAGAAUUAAGCACCUUUUUUUUCUUAUCAGUGUCAUGAAUU
This 223-nucleotide long non-coding RNA is filed under the name Oryza brachyantha (malo sina). RNAcentral describes it as "long non-coding RNA (OBRA_LNC001974)". The record is from RNAcentral. Lineage: Eukaryota; Viridiplantae; Streptophyta; Magnoliopsida; Poales; Poaceae.